GACGAACGCUGGCGGCGUGCUUAACACAUGCAAGUCGAACGGAAAGGCCCUGCUUGCAGGGUGCUCGAGUGGCGAACGGGUGAGUAACACGUGGGUGAUCUGCCCCUUACUUUGGGAUAAGCCUGGGAAACUGGGUCUAAUACUGGAUAGGACCAUGCUGUAGGUGGUGUGGUGGAAAGAUUAGUUUCGGUAAGGGAUGAGCUCGCGGCCUAUCAGCUUGUUGGUGGGGUAAUGGCCUACCAAGGCGUCGACGGGUAGCCGGCCUGAGAGGGUGGACGGCCACAUUGGGACUGAGAUAAGGCCCAGACUCCUACGGGAGGCAGCAAUGGGGAAUAUUGCACAAUGGGCGCAAGCCUGAUGCAGCGACGCCGCGUGGGGGAUGACGGCCUUCGGGUUGUAAACUCCUUUCAGCCAUGACGAAGCCUUCGGGUGACGGUAGUGGUAGAAGAAGCACCGGCUAACUACGUG
This 468-nucleotide ribosomal RNA is filed under the name uncultured bacterium. RNAcentral describes it as "partial 16S ribosomal RNA". It matches the Rfam family "Bacterial small subunit ribosomal RNA", at positions 28 to 507 of the family's 1533-position model. The record is from RNAcentral.